CCUACGGGUGGCAGCAGUGAGGAAUAUUGGUCAAUGGACGCAAGUCUGAACCAGCCAUGCCGCGUGCAGGAAGACGGCUCUAUGAGUUGUAAACUGCUUUUGUAGGAGGGUAAACGCAGAUACGUGUAGAUGUCUGAAAGUAGCGUACGAAUAAGGAUGGGGUAACGCCGUGACAGCAGCCGCGGUAAUACGGAGGAUUCAAGCGUUGUCCGGAUUGAGUGGGUUGAAAGGGUGCGUAGGCGGUCGGUUAAGGUAGAGGUGAAAUCCCGAGGCUCACCUCCGGAAUUGCCUCUGAUACUGUUCGGCUAGAGCGUAGUUGCGGUAGGCGGAAUGUCUGGUGUAGCGGU
RNAcentral lists this ribosomal RNA (347 nucleotides) under uncultured bacterium. RNAcentral describes it as "partial 16S ribosomal RNA". It matches the Rfam family "Bacterial small subunit ribosomal RNA", at positions 338 to 682 of the family's 1533-position model. The record is from RNAcentral.